GAAAUAGGAAUAGCAAAACCACAAUUUGCCCUAUAUUAUAUAUGUGCUCAGUUGUUCUAUGGAAUGUCAUUGCAAGGUCAUAGAUAUAAACACCCGAACCCGAACCAUUCUUACUUUCCGCUUCCGCUGUGUCCACUGAUUAUGAUAGACGGCAACAAAAAUAUACAUAAUAUGACAUAAAUUUGAGACUGCGCUAUUCUUGCUAUUUUGUUUGCAUUUUGGAAUGAAGUAUUCAAUUGAAUAUAGUAAACAUAGGCAGUGGCACCGCGCCGAAUUGAGCCGCGCUACACCGCUAACCGGCUAAGGGAAAUUUAAUUUAUUCGUGGCUGUUUUUUGCUUUACCUACCUACCUACAUGGAUUUUUAAAUCUUCGUGUCGAAAGCUAGAACAGUACCGUCAUUAAACGUAACAAUUCUCUUAAUGUGAACAAUGUCAAUUUCUAGGAGUUUAAACAAUUUAUUUUUGGUACAGUAUCUACCUACCAACGCUGAUUCACAUUGGUGUGAGGUUAUUGCAUCACAUUUUUAAUUCUUUUAAAAAGGUACAUAAUUCCUCUUAGUUUCUAAAAGAUUCCUAUCGUCAUAAUAGACAAAUGUUUGUAUAUAUGUAAUACAACUUAUAAUUUCCAAAAUGGUUGAUUCAAUUGUUUAAGAAGUCGAAAAAAAGGCUUCAAGGUCUGAAAAAUCUUUUAGACAAGACAAUAAUAAGCUGUAUGCGAUCGAUUAAAAUAUUGUUUGAAAUAGAUAAACUAUGAAGUGCUGACGUCGUCGUCAUCGAGUAAAUACGCAAGCAAAGAAUAAAAACAGAGAUAAUGAAGUUGUCCCUUGCCGAGCGAUAAGCUUCAACAAUAAAUAUCUCGCAAUCUAAAAUGUAUAAUGUAUGCACGAUAGAUGAGGGCAAUUAAAAUUAUUAAUUUGUUUUUAUUCAAAGAAAAUAUUCCAAGAUCUUGAUCUUUAACUGCUUCAUAUUGUUUUCUUACAUUAAUAUGUAUUUGUUUUUCUAUCGUUUCAAAUGUUUUUUUUGUUUGUUAUUCGUUAAGGAGAUGAAACAAUUUUGACAAUGAGUUAAUCGAUUAAUUUAUUUUCGUAUUAUCUACAAGAACAAGAAAGCAAACAUUUAUAGUAAUAAAAUUUAGAAAAAUUAACAAUGUUUGCCGGAAAUCAAAACAACAUUUUUUAGUAUUUGGUUGUAGUCCCCUAACGUGUUAUUUCAGCUUCCCAUUUUUGUCACUUAUUUGGAUUUAAUAAAUCCCUAACAACUCUCCAAUGGGAUAUUUUACAUGAUCAUGCGGUACCCACUAUAUUUCACAGUUGGAUAAUAUUAUGAAUUUCGAAGACAACAUCGGUAGAAACUUUUUAGACGUUUCUAAGUUCAAAUCCAGUAAUUAAAAAGGCCAAAUUCAUAACGGAAAACUAAUACGUCACUUCCUAAUCAUUAAGACUUGCUCUGCAUAAGACAGCAUGAUUCUCUAACAUGUUGAUCCAUUAUAUUUACGUAAUCGGUAUUUGGGCUUCACAACAUGUUAUAAUAAACAACCCCAUAAAAUAUGCCUGAGCAGUUUUUCUCUUUUACCUGCGGCAAUUUCAGAAUUUUGAGUCGCAUAUUAUCACCGAUGAAAUAAUCAGGAAUUUCUCUUCUCGACAAUACCCAAAAAUAGCAAUUUUGCAUCGAAAUGCCCAGUUAUAAGGCCUACUAAAUAUUUUAGCCAUAAUCCUUGAACAUCCAAAAUUUCUUAUAAGAUUUCCAUUUAGUUCAAUUUUUAACGUAUUAUUAAGUAUUGAGAUUAUUUUUGUAACCGCACAUCAAGAAUGUGGAGUGCUUUAGCUAAGUCUGUUCCGACCAUUCUUCUCUAUUUUUGUGUACACUGAGUUUAAAAUGUAAACAAUUCAAGGAUAUAUUAAACCCGUUUUUUUGACUCUUAGUUAGAAACCAGAGUGAUCUUUAAGAGGCUGGCAUUCUGGUCAUCAUUUGUUUGCAUCAAUUUUUUUCUGUACUAGAGUAGAUUAGUUUAAAUUCCUUAUUUCGAUAUUAAAAUUACAUUAAUUAAAAGCUAAGAAUACAAGGACAUAGCGUUGUUGCCGUCUGCCUGAAUGACAUUUCGGUUUAAAAUAGUUUAACAUCAUGAAAGUUUUUUUUUUGUUUUUUUUUAGUAUAAGAAAAUAAAAACUAUAUUUUUUAGUAAUUUUUCUUAACAAUUUUCAAAUUAAUAUUUAUAAAAAAGAAGAUAAAUAAAACAAUUUUGAAUGAUUUUAUAAUCUUUAAAGUGAUUUCAGACAUCAAUUUUGCCGUGAUUUGAAACACAAAAUCUUUAAAAAAUAAACUUUCCCGUUUUUAAAAACAAUUUUAGAAGAUGAAAACAAGUUCAAUUUUGCCGCGAUUGGAAACACAAAAAAUAUUAAAUUCUCAAUCGCCAUACAUCGGAUACAUGAACGCUCAAAACCUACUUCUUUAAGCUAAAGAAUGUUUGCAAAAUUUAAACAGAUUCGUCCAACUACUCAGCCCGUUAAGAAUGUCAAUAAGUUGGUCCAUAGACAAAAAACUCACCGUCGUAUUUCUUGUAAUAUUGGACAAACUGCUAUGAAAUGAUUUAUAUCCUCCACAUCUCUUCUGUUGCAGGGAUUGCAAAUUUGUGAGGAGUGCGAUCUAUGGGGGACAAAGUUGAGAUUAAGUAUCUCGACUCUAGCUUUAAAAAUGGUGCCGAUAGUUUCCUGAGUCAUUUCUU
Eupeodes corollae is the source of this 2722-nucleotide long non-coding RNA. RefSeq lists it as uncharacterized. The transcript has 2 exons. Lineage: Eukaryota; Metazoa; Arthropoda; Insecta; Diptera; Syrphidae. The record is from RefSeq and is a predicted model, not a curated record.